AAGCAUAUCACUUGAUGUGCAAGGCGGUCAGAAAAGGACCGCCUAGUCAUGCAUGCAAUUGCUUGCAUCAUGGCGACACCAUCAAAUUGCCGGAACAUCCUGCUAAGGCAUUGGUACCGUCUGCUGUGUGAAAACACGUUAUGACACCGUA
RNAcentral lists this ribosomal RNA (151 nucleotides) under Coelastrum cambricum. RNAcentral's name for it is "partial 26S ribosomal RNA". Lineage: Eukaryota; Viridiplantae; Chlorophyta; Chlorophyceae; Sphaeropleales; Scenedesmaceae. The record is from RNAcentral.